Molecule: long non-coding RNA, 1519 nt
Organism: Dreissena polymorpha
Lineage: Eukaryota; Metazoa; Mollusca; Bivalvia; Myida; Dreissenidae
Exons: 3
Source: RefSeq, a predicted model, not a curated record
GAAGGAGACUAUUUACUUAUUGGGAUUGGCGAUUAGCUUUUUGAAAACGUAUGCGGUAAUACUCUUUCAACGCAUCUCAACCAGUGAAGAAGGUUUUGAAUAACAUACAGGACCCUAGUGGGUAUUGCGGCAAGUUGCAGAGGGCGUAAAAUUAGGCUUGCUGUGAUGGUAAUGUGUUUCUUUUUGCAAAUUUCAAUGUAAGUGGAUGACAAAUUACGCGACACACGACUUGAGUGGGGACAUUCACAGUAUCGCGUUGCCGGCACGGUUAACAACAUAGUUAAAGUCAUCGAAAAGGCAGAGUUGGACGUGAUCGGAUACAGUGCGUAUAGGACAGAAAUUUAUAUUAUCCACCAUAUAUAUGAACAUCAUCUGGAUAAUAUAAGAAACAAACGAAAUCAAGUAUUUCGAUUAGAAAGUGAAAUCUAUAUGGACUAAAUUGUUUUAUAUUUCGGUGAGUAACCAUUCUGGAAUUUACGUUUGCAAUGAAGGCAUCCAUCUUGGACUUGUGACACACACAAUUGGUAAAAGGAUAUAUUAAUAUGUAUUAAAUAUUUAAAACCACAAAAAACAAUCCAAAAAAACGAUCUCUCAAAUCCACUCGUUUUGUGAUAGUCCUGCUGUGAAAAUAAUCGUUCAACAGGAUUGAUUACCAUGGUGACGAUGGGUACACGGUGGUUGGUCCGAUUGUAUUUCUUGCUGCUGGUGGUGGCUAUCCUGGUAAUGAUUUUCACCGAAGUCAGCGGAGCCAAGUGUAGGCGAAAAAUCACGACAGAAUCACCAACAACAACAACGCCAGCACCACCAACAACAAAGCUUCAUCCAUAGUUGCUCAGCAACUAUAAUGGAUUGAUCAUCAUUCUGUUGACAAUCAUGAUCAAAGCAUUUUGUAACAAGUUGUUGAGUUCAUUAACGUUACGGAGCAUUUGAAGAAAGUUUCGUUGUAAAUUUCAAAUUGUAUAUUGAAUUUUCUAACUGUUGUUACAUUGGAUAAAAUGAAUGGACCGGGAAAAACGCUAUCUAUUCCGAAGGAGCAGUCUAUACAUUCUUACGUUUCAUGUCGCCUGAAGUGAUUGGGAUUAUUUACCUUCGGCAAUUCGUUUAAACAACAGUGCCCGAGCAAGCUGCUUUGCAUAAAAUAUCAUUGAUAAAGCUCACUUCAGUAUUCAAAAAUAUAUAUCAGCCUCGUUCUGGAAAACUGUUUUUAAUGCACGUUCGUAAGGCGUAAUUACCGCAGAGGCAAAUCAGGGACGACACGUUCCGCUUUUAUGGAAUUUUUCGUUUGAAGGAAGUCUCUCCUUAAAGAAUAUCCAGUCUAGGUGGAAAGCGUCGUCCUUGAUAAGCAUGUGCGGAUUGCAUUAAGCCCGGUAUUCCCAGAACUCGGCAUGUGUCUUUGCCGUGUAAGUAUUGAGCUUUGUAUAACAUAUAUGCGUUAAAAGCCAUAUUAUGUCCAAAGGACAUAACAUAUGUAAAAUAUUACAGAUGUAACAUAAAGGUUAACAUGUUAAUUAAAUAUAUA